RNAcentral lists this transfer RNA (84 nucleotides) under Felis catus (domestic cat). It matches the Rfam family "tRNA". Rfam says of the family: Transfer RNA (tRNA) molecules are approximately 80 nucleotides in length. Their secondary structure includes four short double-helical elements and three loops (D, anti-codon, and T loops). RNAcentral also lists the same sequence under 2 other names. The record is from Rfam by way of RNAcentral. Lineage: Eukaryota; Metazoa; Chordata; Mammalia; Carnivora; Felidae.
GCCUGGGGGGCUCAGUCGGUUGAGCAUCCGACUUCGGCUCAGGCAUAAUCUUCUGGUUCGUGGGUUCGAGCCCCACGUCGGGCU